UGUUCUAAUUUCCGCCCUCGGCUUGGUUAAAUCUGUUUCUCGCAGUACGUAUAACGCUGCUUGCGUUGUGAAGGGUGGGUGACUGAACGAAUGCUAAGGAGAUGCUGUUCAUUCCAAUUGUAUCCGGCUGCAGGUUGCAGACUCGGCCUUCCACACCUCCUGCCUUCAAUAGUCUGCCCCAGGACCUCCCAUAGUCCGUAGAAAAAGAUGGAGAAAUGCUGCUGUACAGUUUUUCCAAUUUGAAAAAGAAAAUGAGCUGAAAACUUUUUCCGUCACGGAACAAUGGCACUACAGAACCAGGUUUACACUCUAUUGAGUAAUUAGAAGAUGAAUAAAGACUUGCACUACAUCUGAAGUGAAAAAAAUGCCUUGCUAUUCUGUUUCAUAGCACUGUGUUCAUGCAGGUUUCAGAUAUUUUCUUUUAGAAGAAAUGUCAGCCUCCUUUUUCCAACAUCCAGCACAGGACACCGAUGAGCAGCAACACUGAGAAUCCUUCAACAUUUUACCGAGGCAGAGAAGUGGUAUGCUGAGAACAUUUCUGUGUUCAGGGGGCACAUCUCACUCCCUUCAUUACUGUCAAUGGCCCAAAGACGACAUUGAGGAGGCCCUUCAGAAAUUCGGUUUGCUAUCUGAAUUUCCAGAAGAAGAUAAGAGGGAAUAUGUCCUUAGACCCUUCAUCAUCCUUUUUUCAUAUAUGGAAGAUAUGCAUCUGUUUUAAGAUAACGUGAGAGGAAAAAGGAAAAUGACUGUGUUUUGUGAGAAAAUGUAACAAACGUACUGUUCAUGUCCCUCAUUGUUCAGUUACAACCGACAAUUCUUGUUCUUUAUUUUAUAUAUUCUUUAACUCUUUUGUAAUAAAUGUUGCAAACCAACUUCA
Molecule: long non-coding RNA, 877 nt
Organism: Polypterus senegalus (gray bichir)
Lineage: Eukaryota; Metazoa; Chordata; Cladistia; Polypteriformes; Polypteridae
Exons: 3
Source: RefSeq, a predicted model, not a curated record